UAGAAAAUAAUCUUUGUUAGCGCAAGAAUGUAUCUAACAUUGCUGAACGCUGUUAUGAGCUAGACAAUAGUUGUUCACCUUGUUUGACAAUUCAAAUGCAAAAAUGUUAUGUAUUAAAAAAAAUUCACGAACACUGACCGUCGUUGUUGACCAUUCGUCUAUGUCAGGACGGUCGCGAGCCUGUUUAUUGAUAUUAAAACCAUUUUCAACUAGAAAACAUUUAGAAACGUUUGGAACAAUCGGCGUUGCCAGACAAAUCUGAUUGGCUAACAAUAAGACGAACUAGCCAGGUUAAACAAAAACUCGCGGGCAGCCAAAUGAGCAGAAUCAGUAGAAUCCGUCAGUAAAAAUGCCAUGAGCCAAAGGAAAGUUUUACAAUACAUGAGAUUAUGGCUGCAAAUAAAAAUGUUAUAGUACUUGUGCCAAAUGGUCGUCGACAAAAUGUUGGAGUAGCUCCAAACACUACAAUACUACAAAUACUUGAGAAAAUGUAUCAGAAAUAUGGAUAUAACAGAUGAUUUUGAUCUCAAAUCCUAAUGCUAUAUCAAGAUUUGCUGAAUUGACAAAUAAUGCGCAAUUAGAAAUGGUAUCUUAUACAGAAAUACGUUCCAUUUCUAUUAUUACGAUAUACAGUUAGAAAAUAGGGAAAAAUUGAUGAUUAAAGUUACAUUGUGACGGACAGACAACAGUAAAGAUUCAUCGAAGGACAAGCUAGAGAACCUUCCCAGGAGUCCACAUUUUAUUGAUGCGUCCAGAACGUGGCCACGCGAAGAGGUCAAUUUGCAGUUCGCAGCCUCCUGGAACUAGAAGCCAUCAAGAAAGAUCAAUGGACAAGGAAUGAAGUCUAGAAGGAAUGAAAUCUGCUCGAUUGCAGCAUCAUCAAUCUCCCCAUUCUCUACAUGAAUUGAUUUACAUUGCCUCUCAGCUUGCGUGAUCGGUUGCACACGACGGAAAAUCAGGCGAAAGCAUUAGUGGUCGAGCGCGAUUCUUUGGUAAUAAUGUUAUUGAAUAUGACUUUUUAAUUUUUUGAGAACUAUGAUGAUUUUAAUUGUGAUUUGCUAGUGAUUUUGGAUCAUCGUAUCGUUGUUGCAAUUUUGACCACGUCAGCUUAUUCAUAUUAGGCUGUCACGAUAUUUAGGCUAGCCUCUCUUUAUCGCGAUUGGAUUAACCGGAUUGUUUUCGCAUUAAACAAUUAGCGCAAUGUUCAAGAAAUUUCGAUAAAUCCUGAAAAAUGGAUCUUUCUUCAGUGAUUAUUAGACUAUCUUGUUGUCGAAUGGAAGCGGCUCACAGUGAGCCAUAUCGAGAAUUUAUGCGACAUUUUUGAAUAACUUUUGACUUAUAAAAGAUACACACAUACAAAAUUUCACACAAAUAUUUAUAAUAUUCCU
Frieseomelitta varia is the source of this 1388-nucleotide long non-coding RNA. RefSeq lists it as uncharacterized. The transcript has 3 exons. Lineage: Eukaryota; Metazoa; Arthropoda; Insecta; Hymenoptera; Apidae. The record is from RefSeq and is a predicted model, not a curated record.